Vigna angularis (adzuki bean) is the source of this 3258-nucleotide long non-coding RNA. RefSeq lists it as uncharacterized. The record is from RefSeq and is a predicted model, not a curated record. The transcript is spliced from 3 exons. Lineage: Eukaryota; Viridiplantae; Streptophyta; Magnoliopsida; Fabales; Fabaceae.
UGCUAUGCUUCAUUUUGUGAAGGUACGUUAAGGAUCUGAUUCAAUUUGGAGUUGUAUACUACGCUCUUGUUUGUCCACAGCCUCCUUCGGCGGCUACUGAAGAACAAAUUAAGGUAUACAAAGAAGUAACGAAACCUUCGGUAUUGCGCCAAAGAGCUUCUAUCAAAGGCAAAACUGUGCGAGAGGCACAUAAAACUUUCCGUAUAACUCACGCAGAUCAAUUUGUUAAGCCUGGAACGUAUUUGCGAGUCCAUGUGCACCCAAACGCUUUCCUAGGUGUUAUGAGAUUGACUGAAGAUCAAGGAUGACAGCUGUGGCGGAAUCCUAUGUAGUUUUGGAUAAACCUGCUAGUACAUCAGUUGGCUGAAUACCUGACUAUCUCUUUCUUUUGCAAACAAUUCUCCAAACAAAUCCUUAGGUACGAGAGUGCCCCUGAAUUUGUCAUCCUCCAAAAAUUUCUAAUAAUAAUAUUGUUAUUCAUCCUCCCCUGAAAUUGACUUUUCUCAUCAGACUGUGGAUAAUGUUGUUGCUUUAUUAUUUUUAUUUAUAAUAAUGUCUGCCUAAUAAUAAAUUAAGUUAAGCGUUAAAAUUUUAUGUUAUGUUUUUAUUUUUACUUUAUUAGAUUUUGUAUCUGAACUUACGACUUUAAAUUUUUCUAGCGUCAAUUAAUUAUCUUAAAAAUAUUCUACAAAAGUAUUUUAAUAUGAAAAUAGUUUUACUAUAAUUUAAACUUCACUCCACAUAUUUUAAAUUUGAAGAGUAUUUUUAUUAUCCAAGACUUUGUUUCGCAUUUGAUAUCUGGACCGUCAAUAUGAUUAUUUGGAUUCUACAUUAUACAUUAUAAUAAUCAACUAUAAAAGCAAUUCUCUAGACAAAUCCUCAACUAUAAAAGCGAUGGAUCAGUUUUGUAACUUAUUCCAUCCCCUGAAAACGUAGCAGUAGAACUGAGUAACUUAUGUUGAUCAAUUUUUUUUAGGAUGUCUACCCAAGAUACAUUUUCUCUUAUAGGAGAUGACCAAGAAGGACAAUUUAUAGAACCUAAUGUAGGAGAUUCAAAUCAAAAUGAUGUUCCUGUAGAUUCAAAUCAAACUGAAAGUUCAACUCCUACUGUUAACUCCAGAAGAUUAUUGUCAGAUGUUUGGAAUCACUUUAAGAAACAAAAGGUAGAUGGGAAAUGGAGAGCGAUGUGUAAUUAUUGUUCCAAAAGUCUUCUAGGUGAGGCAAAACAAGGUAUGUCACAUUUGAUAAACCAUUUCAAGAGUUGCAAGCUUCGAACAACACGGGACAUCCGACAAUCAUUUUUAAAAACACAUAAAGAAGGUAGUGAAACUGUAGUUGUUGGCAAUUAUGUGUUUAAUCAACAAAUAGCUAGAGAAGCACUCCAUAAGAUGAUAAUUCUACAUGAGUAUCCAAUGUCAAUGGUUGAUCACAUAGGCUUUAAAGAAUUUUGUGCUGCUGUACAACCUCUAUUUAAAGUGGUUUCUCGAAACACCUUAAAAACGGAUAUUAUGAAGGAUUACAUUGCCGAAAAAGAGAAAUUGAAAUUAUUGUUGUCAAGGAUUCAAACCGAGUUGCAAUUACAACUGAUAUGUGGACUGCUAGUAAUCAAAAUAGAGGCUACAUGACUAUAACAACUCAAUUUAUUGAUGAUUUGUGGAGGCUACAAAGUCAACUUGUGAGGUAAUAACACUAUACUAUAUUUUAAGUGUAUUUUUUAGAUUAACAUUGUUCUUUUUCACUAAAUUAAUAAAAUAUGACUUUCAAUUUUAGGUUUAUGUAUGUGCUUGCUCCUCAUACUAGUCAAGUUCUUGCUGAAUUGUUGGUUGAAUGUUUAAUGGAUUAGAAUCUAGAUAGAAAAGUUUCUACUUUGACAGUUGAUAAUUGCACUACAAAUGAUGCUAUGAUUGAUCGCAUUUUAGACAAGAUUUCACCUAGGUCUCUCAUUUUGGGUGGCCAAUUGUUUCACAUGCGAUGUUGUGCACAUAUAUUGAAUUUGAUUGUGAAGGAUGGUUUGUCCAUAAUUGCUAAUGUCAUUGAAAAGGUCAGAGAAAGUGCUAAUUUUUGGACAGCUACACCUAAAAGAGAAGAGAAAUUUAUAGAGACGUGCUCCAUUGAAUAUUCCAUUCAAAAGAAAAUUAGUUGUUGAUUGUAGAACUAGGUGGAAUUAUACAUUUUUAAUGCUUCAAGUAGCCAUAUAAUACAAAGAUGUAUUUACAAAGAUGUAUUUGAUCGUUUAUCACAAUGAGAGAGCGCAUAUGAUUGGCAAAUGGCAAAUGAAAUUUGCCAAAAGUUGGAAAUAUUUUAUGAUGUGACACUCUUGUUUUCUGGUACCUCUUAUCCAACUGCCAACAUUUUCUUUCCAAAGGUAUGUGAAAUUAAGUUGACUUUGAUGCAAUGACUUAACUCUCCCAAUUCUAUUAUUCACCAAAUGGCUGCAUCUAUGGUUUUAAAGUUUAACAAGUAUUGGAGUGUGAUCAGUGGAGUGAUGGCUAUAGGUAUUGUCUUAGAUCCCAGGUACAAAAUUGAUUUGUUGGAUUAUUUUUUCCCUCAGAUAUAUGGCAAUGAAUCUGAUUGUGAAAUUGAAAAGGUGAAGAUUCUUUUUAAGGACUUGGUAAGAGAAUAUGAAAUGUGCAUCAAAGGUAAGAAGUCAGUUUCUUCAUGUCAAAAUCCGAACAUAAAUGUAGGCCAAAUUGUUGAUGGAAGAAAAGAUGCUUGGAGGAGAGAUUUUGUAAAACAUCAGAUUGCAAAGAAAAAUGAACCAACAAAUUAUAAGUUAGAACUCGAUUAUUACUUGGAGGAACCGACACUACGGAUUCAGAUGAAGGAUUUGACAUUUUAAUUUGGUGGAAGACUAAUGGAUUAAAAUAUCCAAUCUUACAAAUGAUUGCAAGAGAUUUUCUAGCCAUUCCUAUCUCAACAGUUACUUCUGAGUCUUCUUUUAGUACCGGUGGUCGAUUUCUUACUCCACAUCGGAGUAGAUUACACCCAGACACUUUAGAGGCAUUGAUAUGUGUUCAAGAUUGGCUAUGGAGUGACAUACAAGGUAAUUAAAUGAACAAUUCAAAUUACAUAUUUAUAUUCAUUCAAAUGAUUGGCUAUGACAAAUGAAUUUAUUUUCCUUUUUCAAGUUCUUCAUAAUUGAAAGUGGUAACAUGAAGCUUAAUACAAUACUAGAGGAGAUAAUUGAUGAUGAUGUUAGUAGUUUUGUUUAUAAUAUUGUAAUCUAAUUUUAUUAAUAGUGUCACUUUGUCAUUUAUU